Limulus polyphemus (Atlantic horseshoe crab) is the source of this 1590-nucleotide long non-coding RNA. RefSeq lists it as uncharacterized. The record is from RefSeq and is a predicted model, not a curated record. NCBI's taxonomy places the organism in Eukaryota, Metazoa, Arthropoda, Merostomata, Xiphosura, Limulidae. The transcript has 2 exons.
UCAAAGAAAAAUAAAUUCACUUUUAGUAAGGGCCAAAUCGGUAGUACAUGUUAUGAAUCAAGGAGGUAUAAAAUUAUUACGUCAGAUUUGUUUGUAAUUAAGCACAAAGCUAAACAAUGGGCUAUUUUUGUUCUGCCCGUCACCGGUAUCGAAACCCGAUUUCUAUCAUUGUGUCAUCUAAAUGGACGGUGAACGACCAUAUUAUGGAAUUGGCCUAAUUGUCUCUGCUGGUUUUUUCUUCGCCGUCGUUGGAGUAUUAGUCCAGUUGGCCAAAGACAGGAUAUUUAUGGACGUUAUGGGCUUAUCUCAAGUAGUCCGAAUAUUUAUUAUUUUACCUCUGAUCAUCCUAAAAAACGUAAAGUUCAACUAUGAGCGAAGAACGCUUUUGUUAACUUUUCUUCGUUGUCUUACUGGAGCGUUAGGAGAUACUUUUCUCUAUUAUUCCUACACUCUUCUUCCUGUUGGCGACGCAACUUCCAUUUAUUCUACAAAUUCAGUUUUUGCUAAUGUAUUUUCCGUUUUGAUAUUCAAACGUUCGUGUAAAUGGCCGAAUUUUGUUUCCAGCUUUCUUUGUAUUUUUGGAGUGGCUAUUAUUUCUCAACCAAGUUUUUUAUUUGCAUCAGACAAACACAUUUCCUUUAAUUACAAAGGAAUUGCUGCGGCAAUAGCUUCCUCUAUUCUGGAUUCGUUGUCUUUCAACUUUAAUAACCUUUUAGGUAAUGUUGAUCAUCUUUUCCUUACAACAAUUCUAACGAUAAAUAUGAUUCUCGUGUGGGUUUUGAGUUUAAUAAGCGAUAAACGUCUUCCUGUGUUAGGAUUUGCAGAUUGUUCCUGGACUAAUCUGUACAUCACUGCUAUAGGAUUAGCUGGUUUGUUGAGGUGUUCGUGCUAUCACACGAGGAUUUCAACUUGUCGAAGCUGGUCCAGGUAGUGUAGCUCUCUCUUCUAUCAUUGUGUUUGGUUAUAUCCUUCAACUCUUUACUCAGGACUAUUCCAUUCGAGUCGUUAGUAUUGUUGGGGCUGUACUAAUUAUCGUGGCUAUUUUUAUUUCAUCUCCGAGUUCAGUGCACGAUAAAAACAGUAUGUUCGAGAAUAUGACUGAAGACAUGAGCCAAUCAGUAAACUAUGAGGAAAACACGAAUAAUGACAUGUUUCAAGAAGCAACUGAUUCGUGUGAGCUAAAUUCAUUAAUUGAAGAAGGACUAAAAACUACCAUAUGAAGAACAUCUAUGAGAAUCAAAUUCUGGAGUUUAAUAACUUGUUUUUAUUUGUGUUACAAUGUAGAUUAUGAUAUUGUUUCUAUAAAUUGUCGAGAUCAACUUAUGAUCGAGUACAUAUUGCUUUAUUCUCUAUGGUAUUAAAAACCAACACUGUUUUCUGUGUGGAAAACAUAUUCUUUAAACUAGUAUGAUAAAUGGUGUCUUUAGUAAUUGUUGUUAAUAGAGUUAACGUCAGAUACUUUAUGUGUAGUUUACCUUUGAAUUUUAGAAAUUUUAAAACGUCAAAUAUUUUAUGUUACAUUUCUCUGUUAAUCAACGAAAUAUUUUCAUUGUAAAUUAAGGGGCAAUAAAAUAUUAUCGAGCUACUAAA